AGAUGGUUCUCACCGCACGGCAAUCCUCGAAGGUCUUCCGAACCACGUGGAGAGACGUAAAGUAAAAAACGACGCGGUUUUCUUCUUUUGUUACGGAAUGUGGCGUGGAGCGGAGGGAACGUACCGCGGAGGUGGCGAAGCGAACGCGUUGGAAAACAGACGAAGCUUUCUUAGAAGGCGGCGUAAAUGUUCCAUCGGCGACAACGGAACGGAUUCCUUUCACGGAGGUUGAGAAUGUUAUACGCCGGUGAGGGUUAGACCCCCACGGCGUGGUCAUAGGUAAUGGGUAAAGCAGAAGACGAAGGUUGUCGAAAGGGAUGGAGGGGGAUGGCUCGAUGGGUGGAAGCGUCAGGUGAGUUUUGCUUGUUACUUUACUAUUUUAAGAAGAUAAUAA
This 394-nucleotide long non-coding RNA is filed under the name Zostera marina. RNAcentral describes it as "long non-coding RNA (ZMAR_LNC000322)". Lineage: Eukaryota; Viridiplantae; Streptophyta; Magnoliopsida; Alismatales; Zosteraceae. The record is from RNAcentral.